GACGAACGCUGGCGGCGUGCCUAACACAUGCAAGUCGAACGGAGUUAUUCCUUCGGGGAUAACUUAGUGGCGAACGGGUGAGUAACGCGUGAGAAACCUGCCUCUCAGUGGGGGACAACAGUUGGAAACGACUGCUAAUACCGCAUAACACUUUAGUACCGCAUGGUACAGAAGUCAAAGCUUUAUGUGCUGAGAGAUGGUCUCGCGUCUGAUUAGCUAGUUGGUGAGGUAACGGCCCACCAAGGCGACGAUCAGUAGCCGACCUGAGAGGGUGACCGGCCACAUUGGGACUGAGACACGGCCCAAACUCCUACGGGAGGCAGCAGUGGGGAAUAUUGCACAAUGGGGGAAACCCUGAUGCAGCGACGCCGCGUGAGUGAAGAAGUAUUUCGGUAUGUAAAGCUCUAUCAGCAGGGAAGAAAGUGACAGUACCUGACUAAGAAGCCCCGGCUAACUACGUG
This 461-nucleotide ribosomal RNA is filed under the name uncultured bacterium. Its description in RNAcentral is "bacterial SSU rRNA". It matches the Rfam family "Bacterial small subunit ribosomal RNA", at positions 28 to 507 of the family's 1533-position model. The record is from RNAcentral.